Molecule: long non-coding RNA, 2001 nt
Filed under: Setaria viridis
Lineage: Eukaryota; Viridiplantae; Streptophyta; Magnoliopsida; Poales; Poaceae
Description: long non-coding RNA (SVIR_LNC002855)
Source: RNAcentral
AACGGGAAGGGGUAAGGCAUUUUAUACAAUAACUUGCUAGUGUGUACAAGAACACGGGAAGGGGCAUGUGCCCUAAGCCUUUUUAGUUGCAUAGUAUUAGAAAAAAUUAUAAAUAUGAUACUCUAUUUACUAGUUGUGUUAUUGAUGAUAUCUAAUUACCCCUAUUGUAAUGUCUAUUUUCAAAUGAACUUCCGGUAGUGAAGAGUAUCUUGGUCCCCUAAGUGGGUUUUGGUGAAUUAAUGAUACAAGCUUAAGUUUCUAAUGAACUUUCAAGUGCAUGAGCAGGUUUAAAAGGAUUGGUGGACAUGUAGCACUUGUAGAUGACCCUCAAAAUGGAAAUGAAUGAAUACGGGGCAUACCUUGAAAGGCUAAAUGUAUUUUCGGUUUGAAUGUAAGUAUAGAAAUGCCGUACUAUUAAGAGGGAUGCGUAAUCUUUGGUCUUUACGUUAAAAAAAGUGCUCAAGAUGACAUAACCAACCUAUGAGAGACACCUUGCACCUGCACUUCAUUUGGGAAAUACUUAGAAUGGUGCUGAUUUGAUAGUUCCAAAACUUUCAGUGGAAGUUCCGAAGUCUCCGGAGAAAGUUUCGAAAAUCUCUAGAACUUAACAUUCCAACGGCUAGUUUUCAGUGAACGGGUAUAAAUACCCUCUCACCCUCUCCCACAGUAACUCUCUUGACCUAACUUUGUGCUGAGAUGUUCAGAAACAUUGAAAGCCCCCCUCUUUACUCCCCUUUGGCAUUCUUGGUGAGAUUUGGUGGGGAUUUAAGGAGGGAUUAGAGAGAGAGAGAGAGCAAGGGAGAGUGCUAGUGAGCUGAUUUCCUAUCUCUUGAACACCUUGUUCUUCGUUAAGCUGGUGAUUUCGUAUUUGUUACUCUUAGAGCUUCAAGAUCCUAGCCGGCUAGGCGUUGCCCAUGGAGCAUCCAAGCUUGUGGUUGCCUACGGGAAGUUUGUAUUACCCCGACAAUUGUGUAAGUGAAUCUAGCUUGAUCUUUGUGGUCGCUAGAGUGAGAAAAGUGGCUUAGGUGUGAAAAGCCCACCCUUUGUGGGUUCCUCAAUGGAGACAUAGGCUUCAAGUGUGGAGCUGAACUCCGGUAAACAAAUCCUUGUGUCUCUUGUGCUUGUUGUUCUUCAUUUCGUUCAUAUUCAAGCAUAGAACAUAUUUCUAGGGUUUAUGCUCGGUUUACUUUUCUAGAAGGUUGCUAGCUCUUUUAUCUUGUCCCUAAGGCUCAGUAUAGCCUGUUGCAUAACCUAUAUUUGACGAUUUACUUUUGGUCAAGCAUUUCAUAAAGUUGUAGUUCAAUCUUGUAAAUCUCCGAAGAAUCUGCAGAUUUCUGAUAAAAUUGUUCAAAGUUGUGUACAAUUUUCAGGUUUGACUAUUCACCCCCUCACUAGUCAACAUUCUAGAUCCUUUCACGUAGUUUAUUAGAAGAAUGCUUGAUCAAGCAUGUUACAUAUUAUUUCAUUUUUUUUCUUAUAUACAAGUACAUGGUCAUGCCGUGUUUGUUGUUUGGUUGGAAAAUAUUUUAUUAUUUAAAUAUGUAUAAUAUGUAACCACCUAACCUAGAGCAACAACUCAAAAUGAAACCACAAGAUAGGUUUUUGACCUAAACAUGAACUAUAUGCACAAAUUCUGGUACACACCUAUUUAGGUGUAUGUGACAUUUAAUAGCUGUAUGCAUCACUAGUUGAUCUAGAGUUCGGGAGUUAUAUUCUUUAUCUAUAAAAGUAUGAAUUAAAUAACCAUGUCGCUAAAAUAAAAGGAACGUACUACAUUACAAAUCAAGGAACACAAUUACUCAAUACUAUUUUCUAUGGUAGAUAUCAUCCAAACAUGACCACAAAGGUAUUGGAACAUCCUCAGGCAGUGUGGUUAUACCUUCUAUUUGACAAACAACCUUCAAUUUUAGCUUUGACUUUGCUUGUUAUAUAGUCUUUUACCAUGUAAAAAGAAUCCCCCUCCAUCCAUCGCUUUAUUUUUAAUAUAAUGCUACGACUCCC